CCUACGGGAGGCAGCAGUGGGGAAUAUUGGGCAAUGGAGGAAACUCUGACCCAGCAAUGCCGCGUGAAUGAAGAAGGCCCUCGGAUUGUAAAGCUCUUUAGUCAGGGAAGCAGUCAAUGACGGUACCUGAAGUAUAAGCUCUGGCUAACUACGAGCCAGCAGCUGCGGCAAUACGGAGGGAGCAAGCGUUGCUCGGAAUGACUGGGCGUAAAGGGUGCGUAGGCGGUUGUACAAGUUAGAGGUGAAAUACCCAGGGCUUAACUCGGGUGCUGCUUCUAAAACUGUAUGACUUGAGUGCAGUAGAGGUUCGUGGAAUUCCUAGUGUAGCGGUGGAAUGCGUAGAUAUUAGGAGGAACACCAGAGGCGAAGGCAGCUAACUGGACUGCAACUGACGCUGAGGCACGAAAGUGUGGGGAGCAAACAGGAUUAGAUACCCCAGUAGUC
Molecule: ribosomal RNA, 444 nt
Filed under: uncultured bacterium
Lineage: Bacteria
Description: partial 16S ribosomal RNA
Rfam family: Bacterial small subunit ribosomal RNA
Source: RNAcentral